This 531-nucleotide ribosomal RNA is filed under the name uncultured bacterium. Its description in RNAcentral is "bacterial SSU rRNA". It matches the Rfam family "Bacterial small subunit ribosomal RNA", at positions 777 to 1306 of the family's 1533-position model. The record is from RNAcentral.
AAUAGAUACCCAGGUAGUCCAUGCCGUAAACGUUGGGAACUAGAUGUAGGGCCUGUUCCACGGGUUCUGUGUCGUAGCUAACGCAUUAAGUUCCCCGCCUGGGGAGUACGGCCGCAAGACUAAAACUCAAAGGAAUUGACGGGGGCCCGCACAAGCGGCGGAGCAUGCGGAUUAAUUCGAUGCAACGCGAAGAACCUUACCAAGGCUUGACAUAUAGAAGAACACUGCAGAGAUGCAGGACUCUUUGGACACUUCUAUACAGGUGGUGCAUGGUUGUCGUCAGCUCGUGUCGUGAGAUGUUCGGUUAAGUCCGGCAACGAGCGCAACCCUCGUCCUAUGUUGCCAGCACGUAAUGGUGGGAACUCAUGGGAUACUGCCGUGGUCAACACGGAGGAAGGUGGGGAUGACGUCAAAUCAUCAUGCCCCUUAUGUCUUGGGCUUCACGCAUGCUACAAUGGCCGGUACAAAGGGCUGCGAUACCGCAAGGUGGAGCGAAUCCCAAAAAGCCGGUCUCAGUUCGGAUUGGGGUCG